ACGCUCGACACCUACUGGAGGCAGCAGUGGGGAAUAUUGCACAAUGGGGGAAACCCUGAUGCAGCGACGCCGCGUGAGCGAAGAAGUAUUUCGGUAUGUAAAGCUCUAUCAGCAGGGAAGAAACUGACGGUACCUGACUAAGAAGCACCGGCUAAAUACGUACACGCAGCCGCGGUAAUCUGAGCGGGCUGGCAAGGC
This 198-nucleotide ribosomal RNA is filed under the name uncultured bacterium. RNAcentral's name for it is "partial 16S ribosomal RNA". It matches the Rfam family "Bacterial small subunit ribosomal RNA", at positions 328 to 539 of the family's 1533-position model. The record is from RNAcentral.